Molecule: long non-coding RNA, 335 nt
Filed under: Gallus gallus (chicken)
Lineage: Eukaryota; Metazoa; Chordata; Aves; Galliformes; Phasianidae
Source: RNAcentral
GUCGGUUCUGUAACUCCAUUAGGAUGCUCAGUCCUAUUAUACACAUCUUUCUGUCAUGGAGUCCAAGAAAACAGUCGGUGUCAUUCAUCCACUGGUUUAUGAACUGUGCAGUGAUGGGCUCAGGGUUGUGUGGAAAUCUGAUGUUCUCUAAGGUGUGCAGAAGUAGGUCAGGAUUGUAAUAGAGUGCAGCUAUGGCAACCUGAAGACACAUGGUACGGAGCUCGCUUGUUUUAACCCCUCUUGUCAACCUCUCCAGAACGGCCUCCACAAAGAGUGGAAUACACUGGGAAUAUAAAGAAGAAGGAAAAAAAGAGCAGGACCUCCUACAAUAACUG